Non-coding RNA from Coturnix japonica (Japanese quail), 618 nucleotides. The record is from RefSeq and is a predicted model, not a curated record. NCBI's taxonomy places the organism in Eukaryota, Metazoa, Chordata, Aves, Galliformes, Phasianidae.
UUCAAAAGCUGUUUACUCAGAAACAGGCAGCCUACUCCUCCACUACUUGGUGAGAUAUCAGAUUAAAAAAAGCAGCCACCAAGGAUAGCACAUCAGAAAUGACGUACGCAGUCACAAUGGGAGGUAUUUAUGCAAGGAUGAGGCACUUCCCUCCCCCAUGCUGCGUGCAAGCCAAGAAGGAACAUUAUGGAUAGCUGAAAAAUCACCUCUUCCCUCAUCUUACUGAAGAAAGAAGACAAGAAUGUCUGGAUAAUUGAUUUGGAAUAUUCACAGUGUCUUGUAGAAAAGAACCGCAGUAUAAAUUACAUUACUUCCUCUAAGGUGAUGGGGCUGAUGAGGAGGGGUGUUCUACUUGACCUUGCUCACCUAACAGGAAAGUCCUGGGGAUGUGAAAACUGGGGGCAGAUUGGGAUACAGUGAUCAUGAGAUGGUGGAGUUCAAGGCCUUGUAUGGAAGAAGAAAAGCAGUAAGUAGGAUUUCUACCCUGGACUUCAAGAGAGCUGAUUUGGAGGUAUCCCAUGGACUAGACUGCUAGAGGGUAAGGGGGCCCGUGAAAGCUGGUUGGCACUUAAACACCACUUCUUCCAAGCUCAAGAUCAGUGCAUCCCUAAGAGUAAG